This 324-nucleotide non-coding RNA is filed under the name Takifugu rubripes (torafugu). Lineage: Eukaryota; Metazoa; Chordata; Actinopteri; Tetraodontiformes; Tetraodontidae. The record is from Rfam by way of RNAcentral.
AGUCAUUGUGUCAUUUAGACAAAAGAAUAUAGGACACUUCUGAGUCCAAGGUAGUUUUCUCUGUCAACUGGACUGUGUUUCUUCUCUUUGAAGAUUGAGGAUAUACACAGACGACACUUCUGAGGUAAUUAGAAUGAGUAAACUAAAGUGCGAGUUUGGUUGCUGCAGCUUUGGAAAUUUCAGCACCAAUCACAUACAAAGUAUGAGCUGGGGUCAUGAUUAAGCUGGACAGCCAGGGGCAUUCAUAUUGUGCAACUAGAGGUGAAAUUCUUUGAUGAUGAAAGAUGGAUGAUAGCGACAGCAUUAGCCGAUAAUGUUUUUAUC